Molecule: long non-coding RNA, 1009 nt
Organism: Oreochromis niloticus (Nile tilapia)
Lineage: Eukaryota; Metazoa; Chordata; Actinopteri; Cichliformes; Cichlidae
Exons: 2
Source: RefSeq, a predicted model, not a curated record
AAAUGUAUUUGGAAUAUAUUAUUGUGUGGUGCCAGAUUCAGUGACCAUGUGACCCAGUAACAAACAGCCCCAUCAGUAACACUGACACAGCACCAACAGGUUGAACAGGUGUGCCUAAUAAAGUGGCAGGUGAGCGUAGAUAACAGAAGCAGAGAGGAGGCCAGAGCAGCUGAAGCUUCAUGUUUCUGUGAGCUCCACAAACGUUAACAGCUGACACAGAACACUGACCGUCUGACUCACCGACACUUCCGGUGAAACCGAAACUAACCUGCGGUCAGAGUCACAGCUGGAGGAGGAGCAGUGUGUGGGAGCGGCUCCGUGGGGAUUUCACGGGACUAAAGGAGGAUGAAGAUGCUGCUGCUGCUGCUCCUCGUCAGCGGAGCACUUCUGAAAUAUUUUGGAGCACCCUCUGCUACUUCCCAUGAUGAGGGGCCCUCCACCUCCUCAGCCACAUCUGUGUGUCCACAAAUGUCUGAUCCCGAGGAUGGAGACCAAAUUACAGGAUCCCUUUCCAGACGCCUUAACGCCCACUCACAUCCUGGGCCUUUUGACCUCAGGAAAUCACAUGAUAGGGUGGGGCUAGGUUCACAGUGAGUUCACCCGAAACUUGGCUGAUUGCGACCUAUACCCGUUUUUACACCUUGACUCGUGUGAUUAAGUAGAGGAUGAAUAGGGGGUCCAUGUCCCUUUUGGGGGACACUCCCAUAGGGCCUAAAUCUGGGACUCUCCACAAAGUGACCGUAGAGCUGAAGAAGAGAGAUGAGAGGUGAAACGUCUUUAAGCAAUGUUAAGGGAAAAUCCCAAAUGGCAAACUGCAAAUAUAAACAGAAACACAGUGAGACAAAAUACUUAAUCACAUGUACAUGGGUGAAGUCUCAAGUGACAGUCACACAGUGUACCUCUUUAUUCGUGCAUUUAUAGUCACUGGUGCCCACACAACAGGGCGGCGUAUUUUCGCUCUUCUCAGAAAAAUGACUAUACAACAGUAUGUGGCUAUCUUACUGGAACA